CACCUCCCCAAAAUCAACUUUUCCAUCCAUUUCUACAUUUUUUUCCUAGAAAAAACAAUGAAUACAGUGAAUAUUUUCAUCUUCCCAAUUCUGAGUAUUUUGUUCAUGGCAAUUUCUCAUAUGGCUCAUGCUCAGAAUUUGGAUCUUUCUCCAGCAACGGCUCCUACCAGUGAUGGCACUAAUCUGGAUCAAGGAAUUGCUUAUUUUCUUAUGGUGAUGGCGUUGCUGAUUACAUACAUGCUCCAUUGAUUUUUUUCUCUUCUUUUUCUUCUUCAUUUUUGCCGAUUAAAAUUCCAUAAAUUUUUUGUAUAUGUAUAUUAUUAUUAAUGAAAUUUAGUAAUAAUAAAAUUCUUUUAACAUA
Molecule: long non-coding RNA, 361 nt
Organism: Lathyrus oleraceus (garden pea)
Lineage: Eukaryota; Viridiplantae; Streptophyta; Magnoliopsida; Fabales; Fabaceae
Exons: 2
Source: RefSeq, a predicted model, not a curated record